RNAcentral lists this ribosomal RNA (25 nucleotides) under Ochlerotatus longifilamentus. RNAcentral describes it as "partial 28S ribosomal RNA". Lineage: Eukaryota; Metazoa; Arthropoda; Insecta; Diptera; Culicidae. The record is from RNAcentral.
GCCUCAAAUAAUGUGUGAUCACCCC